Molecule: ribosomal RNA, 468 nt
Filed under: uncultured bacterium
Lineage: Bacteria
Description: partial 16S ribosomal RNA
Rfam family: Bacterial small subunit ribosomal RNA
Source: RNAcentral
GACGAACGCUGGCGGCGGGCUUAACACAUGCAAGUCGAACGGAAAGGCCCUGGUGUUUUGGGGUGCUCUGGUGGCGAACGGGUGAGUAACAAGUGAGUAACCUGCCCUUGACUGUGGGAUGACUUCAGGAAACUAGGGCUAAUACCGGAUAAGAGCUCCUGCUGCAUGGUGGGGGGUGGAAUGUUGCGGCGGUUGGGGAUGGGCUCGCGGCUGAUCAGCUUGUUGGUGGGGGAGUAGCGUACCAAGGCUUGGACGGGCAGCCGGCAUGAGAGGGUGAGCGGCCACCUUGGUACUGCGAUACGGACCAGAGUCCUAUGGGAGGCAGCAGGGGGGAAUCUUGUACAAUCGGGCGACGCCUGAUGCAGAAACGCCGCGUGCGUGAUGACGGCCCUGGGGUUGUAAAGCGCUUUCGCCUGUGACGUAGAGCGAGUGACGGUAAUCGCUAAAGAAGCACCGGCUAACUACGUG